RNAcentral lists this ribosomal RNA (924 nucleotides) under uncultured bacterium. Its description in RNAcentral is "bacterial SSU rRNA". It matches the Rfam family "Bacterial small subunit ribosomal RNA", at positions 1 to 890 of the family's 1533-position model. The record is from RNAcentral.
AGGGGAAAUGAAUUGGGGCGCGAAAUUCGCCCUUAAAGUUUGAUCCUGGCUCAGGAUGAACGCUAGCGGCAGGCUUAACACAUGCAAGUCGAACGGCAGCACAGGUAGCAAUACUGGGUGGCGAGUGGCGCACGGGUGCGUAACCACGUAUGCAACUUACCCUUUAACUGGAAAAUAGCCCCGAAGAAAUUCGGAUUAAUGUUCCAUAAUAUAAUAGAAUGGCAUCAUUUUAUUAUUAAAGUAUUUCGGUUAAAGAUAGGCAUGCGCUCGAUUAGCUAGUUGGUGAGGUAACGGCUCACAAAGGCAACGAUCGAUAGGGGACCUGAGAGGGGUAUCCCCCACACUGGUACUGAGACACGGACCAGACUCCUACGGGAGGCAGCAGUGAGGAAUAUUGGACAAUGGCCGCAAGGCUGAUCCAGCCAUGCCGCGUGCAGGAUGACGGCCCUAUGGGUUGUAAACUGCUUUUCUACGGGAAUAAACCCCUUUACGUGUAAAGGGCUGAAGGUACCGUAGGAAUAAGCACCGGCUAACUCCGUGCCAGCAGCCGCGGUAAUACGGAGGGUGCAAGCGUUAUCCGGAUUUAUUGGGUUUAAAGGGUGCGCAGGCGGGAUUUUAAGUCAGUGGUGAAAGCCCGAGGCUCAACCUCGGAACUGCCAUUGAUACUGAAAUUCUUGAAUGUAGUUGAUGUGGGCGGGAAUGUGCCAUGUAGCGGUGAAAUGCUUAGAUAUGGCACAGAACACCGAUCGUGAAGACAGCUCACAAAACUAUUAUUGACGCCUCAGGCACGAAAGCGUGGGGAUCAAACAGGAUUAGAUACCCUGGGUAGUCCACGCUGUAAACGUUUGAUCACUCGACAUUGGCGAUAUACGGUCAGUGUCCAAGCGAAAGUGUUUAGUGAUCCACCUGGGGAGUACGCCCGCC